Molecule: transfer RNA, 74 nt
Filed under: Candidatus Taylorbacteria bacterium RIFCSPHIGHO2_02_FULL_44_36
Lineage: Bacteria; Candidatus Tayloriibacteriota
Also listed under: 2 other names
Description: tRNA-Thr
Rfam family: tRNA
About the family: Transfer RNA (tRNA) molecules are approximately 80 nucleotides in length.
Source: RNAcentral
GCCAGAGUAGCUCAGUUGGUUAGAGCAGCCGUUUUGUAAACGGCAGAUCGUCGGUUCAAAUCCGACCUCUGGCU